CGGACCGGCGCACGGGUGCGUAACGCGUAUGCAACCUACCCAUAACAGGGGGAGUAACACUGAGAAAUUGGUACUAAUACCCCAUAAUAUCAUAGAAGGCAUCUUUUAUGGUUGAAAAUUCCGAUGGUUAGAGAUGGGCAUGCGUUGUAUUAGCUAGUUGGUGGGGUAACGGCUCACCAAGGCGACGAUACAUAGGGGGACUGAGAGGUUAACCCCCCACACUGGUACUGAGACACGGACCAG
Molecule: ribosomal RNA, 243 nt
Filed under: uncultured bacterium
Lineage: Bacteria
Description: partial 16S ribosomal RNA
Rfam family: Bacterial small subunit ribosomal RNA
Source: RNAcentral